GACGAACGCUGGCGGCGUGCCUAAUACAUGCAAGUAGAACGCUGAAGAGAGGAGCUUGCUCUUCUUGGAUGAGUUGCGAACGGGUGAGUAACGCGUAGGUAACCUGCCUUGUAGCGGGGGAUAACUAUUGGAAACGAUAGCUAAUACCGCAUAACAAUGGAUGACACAUGUCAUUUAUUUGAAAGGGGCAAUUGCUCCACUACAAGAUGGACCUGCGUUGUAUUAGCUAGUAGGUGAGGUAACGGCUCACCUAGGCGACGAUACAUAGCCGACCUGAGAGGGGGAUCGGCCACACUGGGACUGAGACACGGCCCAGACUCCUACGGGAGGCAGCAGUAGGGAAUCUUCGGCAAUGGGGGCAACCCUGACCGAGCAACGCCGCGUGAGUGAAGAAGGUUUUCGGAUCGUAAAGCUCUGUUGUAAGUCAAGAACGAGUGUGAGAGUGGAAAGUUCACACUGUGACGGUAGCUUACCAGAAAGGGACGGCUAACUACGUG
This 497-nucleotide ribosomal RNA is filed under the name uncultured bacterium. Its description in RNAcentral is "partial 16S ribosomal RNA". It matches the Rfam family "Bacterial small subunit ribosomal RNA", at positions 28 to 507 of the family's 1533-position model. The record is from RNAcentral.